This 460-nucleotide ribosomal RNA is filed under the name uncultured bacterium. Its description in RNAcentral is "partial 16S ribosomal RNA". It matches the Rfam family "Bacterial small subunit ribosomal RNA", at positions 338 to 795 of the family's 1533-position model. The record is from RNAcentral.
CCUACGGGAGGCAGCAGUGAGGAAUAUUGGUCAAUGGGCUUACGCCUGAACCAGCCAAGUCGCGUGAGGGAAGACUGCCCUAUGGGUUGUAAACCUCUUUUGUCAGGGAGCAACGCCGGCUACGGGUAGCCGGACUGAGAGUACCUGAAGAAAAAGCAUCGGCUAACUCCGUGCCAGCAGCCGCGGUAAUACGGAGGAUGCGAGCGUUAUCCGGAGUUAUUGGGUUUAAAGGGUGCGUAGGCGGAAUGCCAAGUCAGCGGUAAAAUCGCGGGGCUCAACCUCGCUCCGCCGUUGAAACUGGCGUUCUUGAGUGGGCGAGAAGUAUGCGGAAUGCGUGGUGUAGCGGUGAAAUGCAUAGAUAUCACGCAGAACUCCGAUUGCGAAGGCAGCAUACCGGCGCCCAACUGACGCUGAAGCACGAAAGCGUGGGUAUCGAACAGGAUUAGAUACCCGAGUAGUC